Molecule: ribosomal RNA, 478 nt
Filed under: uncultured bacterium
Lineage: Bacteria
Description: partial 16S ribosomal RNA
Rfam family: Bacterial small subunit ribosomal RNA
Source: RNAcentral
GACGUACGCUGGCGGCGUGCUUAACACAUGCAAGUCGAGCGAUGAAGCUCCUUCGGGAGUGGAUUAGCGGCGGACGGGUGAGUAACACGUGGGUAACCUGCCUCAUAGAGGGGAAUAGCCUUCCGAAAGGAAGAUUAAUACCGCAUAAGAUUGUAGCUUCGCAUGAAGCAGCAAUUAAAGGAGCAAUCCGCUAUGAGAUGGACCCGCGUCGCAUUAGCUAGUUGGUGAGGGAACGGCUCACCAAGGCGACGAUGCGUAGCAGACCUGAGAGGGUGAUCGGCCACAUUGGGACUGAGACACGGCCCAGACUCCUACGGGAGGCAGCAGUGGGGAAUAUUGCACAAUGGGGGAAACCCUGAUGCAGCAACGCCGCGUGAGUGAUGACGGUCUUCGGAUUGUAAAACUCUGUCUUCAGGGACGAUAAUGACGGUACCUGAGGAGGAAGCCACGGCUAACUACGUGCCAGCAGCAGCCGCCG